GGGGGUGUUUUGGUUUCGACGGGAGUUUAUGAAGGUAUGGUAAGCGAGCCGCGGCCCCUGAACCGCGUAACAACGGGGAAAAAAAUAACUGACAAUAGCGAUUUCGCUUUCGCGGCCUAAUGGCUGCGCGUUGGCCCUGAGCGCCCACUGCUCAGGUAACCAGCGUCAUUAAAGUGGGGAACGAGCGCACCAAAGCUUUGAGGCGCCGCCCGUAAAUAUGAAGCUACCGUAGCCGCCAGCCUGUCACGGGGCGUGUGGUGAGGGGAAUCCUAAAACCGUGAAUGCGCUCGGAGAAAACCAUAUCGGCGUGCUUUCGGACGGGGGUUCGAUUCCCCUCACCUCCACCA
Molecule: small RNA, 347 nt
Filed under: pig gut metagenome
Description: transfer-messenger RNA
Rfam family: transfer-messenger RNA
About the family: Bacterial tmRNA, also known as 10Sa RNA or SsrA, is named for its dual tRNA and mRNA-like properties. Its role is to liberate the mRNA from a stalled ribosome.
Source: RNAcentral